CUACGGGUCGCACCAGUAGGGAAUAUUGGACAAUGGGCGAAAGCCUGAUCCAGCAACACCGCGUGCACGAUGACGGCCUUCGGGUUGUAAAGUGCUUUUAGAGGAGAUGAGAAAGGACAGUAUCCUCUGAAUAAGCCUCGGCGAACUACGUGCCAGCAGCCGCGGUAAAACGUAGGAGGCAAGCGUUAUCCGGAUUUAUUGGGCGUAAAGCGCGUGCAGGCGGUCUAGCAAGUUGGAUGUGAAAGCUCCCGGCUCAACUGGGAGAGGUCGUUCAAUACUGUUAGACUAGAGAAUAGGAGAGGGAGGUGGAAUUCCGGGUGUAGUGGUGAUAUGCGUAGAUAUCCGGAGGAACACCAGUGGCGAAAGCGGCCUCCUGAACUAUUUCUGACGCUAAGACGCGAAAGCUAGGGUAGCAAACGGGAUUAGAUACCCGCGUAGUC
Molecule: ribosomal RNA, 440 nt
Filed under: uncultured bacterium
Lineage: Bacteria
Description: partial 16S ribosomal RNA
Rfam family: Bacterial small subunit ribosomal RNA
Source: RNAcentral